Carassius gibelio (silver crucian carp) is the source of this 12110-nucleotide long non-coding RNA. RefSeq lists it as uncharacterized. The record is from RefSeq and is a predicted model, not a curated record. Lineage: Eukaryota; Metazoa; Chordata; Actinopteri; Cypriniformes; Cyprinidae. The transcript has 2 exons.
AUAUAUAUAUAUAUCACAAUAUUACAGCUUAACUGUAUUUUUGUUUCUUUCUAAAACAUAAAAAAAUUGUAUCAACCCCAAACUUUUGAAUGGUACUGUAUAUAAAGGGAAAACACAUUCUGUAAGAAAAUACAAGAAAAACAGGAGGUUGUACUAAAACAUAAUUCCUUAAUGUUUGAAAAAUCAGUGAGGUAUAUGAGAAAUAUCAUCCUCUUUCUGGUGUAUGUUUGUGUUCCAGGUGUCUGGGUGUGUGUCUGGCCUUGUGCCCAGAGUACAGCUUGGUUCUGGAGGAUGAAUUGGGUGUAUGUGGGUGCGCUGAGGGUAUUCUGGAUGUUUGCUCCUUUGCCAAACAAUGUCAGGCCAACCGGCGACCUGCUAUGAAGGACAAAUAUCCUUCACACCCCAUGGAGCAAGUGGACAUAGUGCAACAAAGGGAAGCAUUAAAGCUGGACCCACAUCCACACUUUGGACAAAAUUUUUCCACAGUACUUUUAAAAUGGUGCAAUGGGAACAUCUAAUCUUGACAUUGCUUUAAUUGCAUAUUCUCCUCCAAACACCAAGGAGGCGCUGCUGUAUUUCCAUGAAGAAGAGGACUAUCCAUAAUCCUUGCUGUAUCAUUUCCCAUCUCAGCUCAUUUCAGAUUUUGUGAAGUCAGAGAAUGUCUAAUAUGGCGAGAAGUUUCACUCUCACUACACUUCCGGCUUCUGAACUGGUUGCAGAUCCACUCUGAUUCCAUAUGAGGGCGCUCACAGGAUGAGUGCAGAAUGAAUGGAGGUCAAUAACAGUAUAGCCCUCAAAAUCCACUUUUCUCAGGAUAUAAUUUUGUGUCUAGUAAUUUGAAUGUUGUAUUCGAAAGGAGAUGCAAAGAAAAUACACAUUGCUGGGUGUUAUAUUUUUAGAGUCACUUAUUUGCUUUAAAAAGUCUUUAAAAAUGUCAAUGACGUCAUACACAUCGUACGACCAGAGAUACUGCUUUACGGCGAUCCUUCAGUCACUUUGGUGCUUUCCAGAGCCAUUGAAAAAUGUAUUAUACAUACAAUUUGUAUAUAGCAAUCGAGUAAGGGAAGAGUCCCCCUCCCAACAACACGUAUCGUUACGAUCUGUAGUAGCCCGUGCAACCUGGCCGAUUUUGGACAUUAGCCAACUUGGCAUUUGGCCAACUUUCCCUCCCACAUGUACCACCGUAAAUUCAGGUAGGGUUUGACAAUUAACAGUCCACAUGGGUUACCUUUUUUCGUCCUUGGGAAAUGAGAAAUAGGACAACACUUGCCCACUAUUAGAACAAUUUAUCAUUGCACACCUGUGAGGCAUUUUUUUUCAGUUUUAAAUUUUUACUGAUAUUUAGCACUAUUGAGCGUGACAUUUGUUUGUGUUUUUUAAAGUGGCAAUACUAUACCAUAUGUAUCUGGUAUUUCCUAACACAAGAAUAAAAAAAAAGUACUCAAAUUCAAUUAAUUUUCCUUUAAAUUUCACAGUACAUACAUAACAAUAGGCAGAUAAAAGUUCCAGCAACCAAAAAAAAAAGUUGCUGAGUUGAAAAGAAAAACUUAGGCGAAAAAGUCCGCCUUAACAUUCUGAUCCCGCUGAUUCUGAUUCGGAUGCCAUCAAUCAGUAUCUCUUGUCAUAAUCAGUCCUUCACUGACCAAUCAGCAUUCAUUAGUAGAAUGCUAGCGUUGUUAUGGGCAACAACAACUCAACCUGUAAGAAAUCGAAAGCACAUAAGUAGGCCUACUUGUUCUUUCAACUUUCGACCUAUAAGCCAUGUUGAACUUGCAAAACCCACAAUCAGAUCUGAGAUUUCUCGACGGCAAUCGGGUGAAAGGGACAAAUUUAGCCCCAUAGACUCCCAGUCAUUUUGCACUCAUGGCGAUCGCCCCCAGUGGAACUCUGAUGGAACUGCAACCAAAAUUCGGUACAAUAGGACUUAAUAGGGAGUGGGAAGGCUCUCCGUAGACGGGCUCAAAUCCAAAAUCAAAUCCAAGAUCAGAUUAAACAAAAAUAUUGCACUAUGAUGAUCUGCAAUUUUAGAAGGCUCUUUAAGCAUUUUCAUUUAGGAGAAUAACAUAAAAUUGCACUUGGACUGAUUUGUUUUGGAGCUUUUAUUGGUUCACAUAAACCUUUGGCUCUGCUUUUGUGGAUAAUAAAACUUGCUCUUUUUAUUGAGAGUGUCUGUUAUGAGACCUCUAUACAUCAGUUGCAUUCGUACUGCCCACAGACCAUUGCUUGUAUGAGCGCAAUUUCUGUUCUGGUGAGGUUACUUUUUCAUUUGCGAUUCUGUAUUCUUUCAGGAUUUUCCACUCUGAGCAACAGCAUCAGCGUGCCUGUAAGAGUAGCAGCCCAACUGCUUGCUGGGUGACCCUCCUGCACAGAUGAGAGGGAAAUAAACAAAAACUGUCCAAAUACAGAGGGUGUGCUAGACAGAGAGAGAGAGAUGUGUGUGUGUGUCUACUCAUAACUCCUAGCAGGUUGCUCAAGGCGAUGUCUGUCUAAGCUGAAAGCAAGGCUGCAGAGAGAAUUAAUAAUUUAGUCGCAGAAAAAAUAACUCUACAAAAGACCUGUGUCUGUGCAUUACUCACUGCUUGCAAUAAAUAAGAGAUGUGCUCAGGGUUUUUUGAAUGGGAGUUUGGUUAAAUCCCCUAAAAUAAUGUUUGUGCCCUGUUAAAAAAAAAAAAAAAAACUACAUAUCCUGGUUAGGUAUGUUGUGGUAUGGUAUUUUUGGGAUGUUGGUUGGAUCUGGUUUAAGUUGGUCCUUAACUGGUCAUGUGCUGGUCCUAAACUGGCCGACCAUUUUUUCAACAGAUUCAUACAAGCUCAAGAUACUUUCCCCUUGUAUUCUACAACAUAAAACACACCAGUUACACCCCACUCAUGAUUUUUUUAACUGUUAAGUCUCUUUAAAAAGACAGUUGCUAACAAGUUUCUAAUUGGGACUACAGUAAAUACAUUAAAUGCCAUCACGCUGAACAGCUUAGCAAUUUACAGUAUUUUCCAAUCGUAUAAUUCAUAGUAUAAUUAAUUGUAGAAUAACCAAUUAAUAGUUUCACACAUUUAAUAUUGUUGUUCGACAAUUUGUUAUUUUGUUGUUUUUUUUAACAUUUUUUUUCCGAGUUUGUAGUUCUGAACCAAGUCAUUUGUCAAAGCGCAAUGUAUUGUGGGUAAUUUCAGCCAUCAGAGUGUGCAAGGAUCCACACUUCAAAAUCGACCUGAAAUAGUAGAACAUCUUCAGAUUAAGUGAUCUUUAACAGAUCUUGCUGACGUUCAUGUGCUAUCUGGUUAUUUUUGUAGCCCAAACCCAGAAACAAAUUAGCCUUUUAGCACUUUCAGCUUCAUUGUACUUUUUUUUAUGGGUUUUUGGCUAAAUGCCUGAAAAAAAGGUCAGAUUUUUUUUUUCGUAUGUUCUGUGACAUAAAAUACAUCAGUUACCAUUUUCUAAGCUUUUAUAUCCCUAAAAAAGACGUUGCUAUGUCUGAAAUGUCUGAAUGGGACUACAGAGGUUGCCUUGGACUUUUAUAAUUGCACUUUUGCUAACUAUUCCUGCUCAAUCUUUCAGGGAUUGUUUUAAAAUAAAGACUGAAAGGGUUAAUGGUGGUGAUCUUGAAGUCAUGUGACCAUGGUGUAGUUUGUUUAUAGCCUAUGUUUAAGUUUUUACUUCUUGUAAUUGUAUUUAGACCUCAAAUUCAUAAAAGAUGUGCUCAUUUGAGAAGAGUUUCAUGAUCAACAAAACAUGUAAGUGAUUACACACUAAAUCCCCGAUCAGGCAUUUAGGAAGGGGGCUUUGGUUUGUCUGGUUAGCAGUUAACCCCUGCUGGUAGAGCUAUGGUCUACUGCACUAUUAUGCUAGCAAAAUCCAUGGCUCUGGUGAUCAGAUAAAACUAGUUUGUCUCUGAAACAGAGUGGCUAGUGAGUGACUAUGACAGCAUCACCUUCUCCAUGACUGCAUGUGCUGUCUGAGCAACUGCCAUUGAGAUGAAUAUGAAUAGGAAUGCUACCGGAUAGCUCUCUUCAGGUAUUUUGACUUCCUUACCAUGGUUGUGUUCAGACUGAAAUACUAGCAUACUGCUAACUCUGUCUUGCAUGGGCCGUGUUGCCUACUUUAUGUGAACCUGUGAGUAAUGUGCAGCAAUAAAGGUUUCAACUUGUAUUACACUAAACUUCAUUAAGAAGGUAUUAUGUGUCUUAUAUGAUGUACUGGUAUUUUGUAAAAUAAUUUUUGCUGGUGUACACAAAUGUAUUUAAGUGGUUCUUGAUUGUAGUUCUGAUAGUGAACUGAAGGUGGCAAUGUAUAUUCAUUACUGAAUAUAGUUUUUGGUCUACAGUAGCUGCCCUCAUGUUCCUGUCCAAGCCUUCAGACUUCACUAAACGCCCACCCUUCCCUAGAGCUUUCUUGUAUUGUAGCACGUCUUCUUUCUCUCUGUUUCUCUUUGCAUUUUUCACAGCAUGAAUCUAUUCAAUAAAACCCAAGAACCCGCCUUUAAUGGUAUAUGAUAUUUUUUUUUAUUUGCAUGGCCACAUGCUCACAUUUGAUAACUUCUUUGCCUUAUUAGCAGGCAGGGCUCUGGAAUUAAUAAUAUUCAACAGUAUUAUUUUGGAAAAAUAAAUUUGCUUAUAUAUGUCAUCAUGAGCAUUUUUAGCACCCUUUUCCAUUUUGAUAUGGUUUUUCUGUCUGGAUCCACAUACUGAACAAGCAAAUUUCACCCGAUUCUCACUGACAGAAGAUUAAAAUGCAUACAAGUUAUUCAGCAGUUAACCUUCAAAAAGAAAGCCGUGUUCACCUUCCCCUCAAUUUACCCAGUUUUUUAUUUGAACAGCAGCAUUCAGAACAUGGAUUGGCUUUCAAGAGCUCUUGCUCUCUCAGAUGAUACAUGGAAUAACACAUAUACCAUUCGUUUUUCUUGCCCAUAGUGCAGCUAUACAGAACUGGCUCCUUUCAGUAAAUGAGGUUUAGUCUGAAUCAUUCAUUUGCUAAAGAAUUAUAUCUAUCUCUCUGUAUGUCUGUCUGUCUGUUUGUCUACGUUCUAACUGAAUACAUUUAGUUUAAUUUGGAUCCUUGAUCAUUUAAUUUAAUUUGGUGUAUAGAGUAAUAAAGAUUUGACAUGAAUAUAGAGAUGUUCAGCAUAUAAAAUAUACACAAUUGUACUAACAGUACAUUAUUUAGCAAGGACACUUUCAAUUUAUCAAAAGUGACAGGAAAGACAUUUAUAAUGUUAAAAUGCUGUUCUUUUGAACUCACUAUUCAUAAAAGAAUUCUGAAAGAACCGAUAUUGUUUCCACAAAUAUAGUCAUCAGAACAACUGUUUUCAACACUGAUAAUACUAAGAAAUGUUUCCUGAGCAGCAAAUCAAAAUAUUAGAAUGAUUUUGGAAGGAUCAUGUGAUAGUUGGGGUCACUUCAUCUACAGUGAUAUCGUUGACUUGAUUGCAAAUAAAUCCACAGACACUAUUUAACUGAACAGAGAUGACAUCACUGAAUUCAAUGAUGAACUGCCUUGGCUUUAACUAUCAUUUUUCAUUAUUGACACACUGUUUUCCUAAUGAAUGUUGUUCAGUUGCUUUGACGCAAUGUAUUUUGUUUGAAGCGCUGUAUAAAUAAAAGUGACUUGACUUGACUAUUGAAGAGUGGAAUAAUGGCUGCUGAAAAAAUAGCUCUACCAUAGGAAUAAAUUACAUUUUAAAAUAUAUUCAAAAGUUAUUUUUACAUUGUAAUAAUAUUUCAGAUUAUCACUGUUUACACUGUAUUUAUGUCUUAUGAGACUUGCAAUCCCCAUACAUCUCCCUUACACAAAUCUUACCAUCCCCAAACUUGUGUAUAUAAACGGCAGUGUAUAUAAAAUUAAAGAAGUGUAAGUGUGUGUAAUGUAUGUAUUCUUUAGUCUUUAGUUUCAACAAGGUUAAUGAAAUAUAUAUAUAUAUAUAUAUAUAUAUAGUUAAAAAAUAAAAAAAAAUAUUUUACUAUUUUAUAAAAGGCCAACUUACUUAUGUAUGCAUUGAAAUGAAAUGAAAAAAAAAAAAAGCUCCAGUGGGAAACAUUUGAAUGCAUCCUUCUGACUGUACUUCUGGGUCUCUUUGUUUCAUUGUUCUGUACUGAAGCACUCCCAGUAAAAGGACUGCCGAUAAAAGAGCUCGGAGAUGAAAACCUAGCAUCAGCAGCAGAAGGAAGGACACGCCCAGAAUACUCUUUCCCAUCUGAACAGGAAAGCAAUGUCACCCAGGAGGCUCAUACCGUCUGUUCACUCUCCUUUUCUCUCAGAUAUUUGCCUCCUUUUUAUAAAUAAAUGUGUUUUUUUGUUGUUUUUUUAGCAUGACAUUAAUCAGUUUGCAUGCUUUUUACAUUCUCACACAAGCAGCCUGUUGACAGGUUUACAGAUCUCAAGCUGUUACAAAUUGGUAAACAUCCAUAGACGACAUACUAAUUAUAAAACAGAUUGUGUUGUGUGGAAAAUUUCAAUUUCUACUGUGAUGGAGUGUCACUGAAAUAGUUUGAGAUUUGAAAAAUAGAUUUGAAAGAUUGCUUCUCAACCACACACAGACACAAUCUUGAGUGCAGCAGAGGAUCUGGUCUUCAUUUCCAACACAAAUGCUGUGAAUCACAAAGCAUGCAAUAUAUAUUUUUUAAUGUUUUCAUAACUAAUCUCUGAUCCAGUUAUAUAACGCUUACAAUGUACUGAUAUGUGCUUUCUAUGCAAUUCUAUCACCUAUAUUCAACAUCUGUGACCCAGAAUGGAUUCAUUGUAUUCCUAGUUUCAGUAUCACCAUGGUUACAGGUUGGUUUUUGUGCAUCCGUGUGUGCAGGAUCAUCAGUUGUGCGCCCGUGCUUUACCUUCAGUGGAUUUAUACUAUGAGUCAUGUAGAGAGGACAGCAUGAGCAGCUUGUCUCAUUAUCAGUGCACCACACCUCAUGCUGCGAGUCCCUAGUCAGUUUCGAUUUAGUGAAAUCUCUAGACAAACAAACAUGUAAACCACUUUUAGUCUAUUGCACUUCCUUACGACUCUUCCUACAAUUAAACCAAAACCACUAAAGUUAAUAUGUUUGCUGUGAAGGGUCUUCAGAAUUAAUCGUAGACUUAAUUUAUUGUAGAUUAGAGGUUUUUAUGUAUGGUACAAAAGGAGUGACAUGAUACAUAAUUCAAGUUUGAUCAGGUCUGCUGCCAGGUUCCUGAGCAUCAUAUUCUUUAAAGUGAUGACACUUAAUGUUCUCUAAUUGUGAACGAUACAUCAGUUAUUCCAUUUCAAACCGCUCAAAAAAUUUAGUUUCAGCUCAUGAGGUGGACAAUCACAUGACCAGCAAUCAGCACAGCAGCUUGAUCAAGAACUCUGGAAAUCUUGUAAAGAGUGUCCAUUUCUCUGUAGGCUUCUGACUGGUAAAAUACAGAUGUAAUCUCAUACUGCAGUAAGAGAGAAAUUCUACACCAGGGAAUCAUUAAUCAAUAAAAAAAAGAGGAGAAUGGGAUGGUAAGAUGAGUGGAGGAAUAAGUAUUGAUUAAAUGGUGAGGAUGUUUAAAGUGUGUCUUCAGAUCUUUGUGAAGUUCCCACAAGGCUCGUUGGCACAUGUCUACCCCCCAUUUCCCACCCCCUGCUGCCCAAAUAAUACAACUUUUGAAAGUGUGAUUUUGCCCAAAUAAAAUAAGAAAAUCCAUGGGCAUUCAAAAAUGAAUUGAGAAUGUCUUUUAAUUUCAAUUCCUGAAUUUGCAGGUAUCGUAUAGGAUACAGAAAUUUCAAUCUAAUUCAUUGAAACAGUACUUUUAGUCUAGAGAAGUACGCUCUUUACACUACUGUGUGGGAUUUGUUUUUUCAAAAAUAUUUUUCAUGCUCACUAAGGCUGCAUGUAUUUGAUCAAAAAUCCAAAAAUCCAAAACAGUAUUUUCAGCAGCCAUUACCUCAGUCUUCAGAGUCACAUGAUUCUUCAAAUCAUUCUGAUUUGCUGCUCAUGAAACAUUUCACAUUAUAACAUGAGACGUAAUAAAACAGUUAUGCUGCUUAAUGUUUUUGGAAAACAUGAUACAUUUUUAUCAGGAUUCUUUGCUAAAUGAAAUUAAAUGUAAACAAAACGAAUUAACUUUGAAAAGAAAUAUUUAAUAAGAUCAUACAUGCCUUCUGAUCAAUGUAAAGCAGCCUUACGGAAUGAGAGUAUUAAUUUCUCUCAAUCAAUCAAUAAAAUGAUAUAAAUAAAUAAUUCAGAUCCCAGAUUUUGAACAGCAGUGUAUGCACCGAGGGCCCUGAUGUUCAGCUUCCUUUAUCAGUCUCAGAACGUCCGGUCAGAGACUUUAGAGGCCCCUGACAGUCUGAGGCACUGGCUCCGUUGGCCCCAUCCAUAAUCCAGCACUGCUUUCUCUCCUUCUGUCCAACUGUCUUCUACGGUUCAAAUCUCUAGCAAUCUGAACCCUUUCCAAAUUAAAUGUAAAUGUUCUGCUAACACACAAACAGGGCAAGAGAGAAGGAAAAAGUCAGAAAAGGGUUUUUUCCUUUCUAAGAUCAACCCCCUCAUUACUACAGGGCAUAAUAAACAGCUAUCUGACAUACAUGGAUAACCACAGGGUCCCUGAUAAGCCCAGACACUUCCUGCGCCUUUAUGGAAGAUUACAUGAGAGCUUUGAAGUUUGUGAGUGUGAAACACACUGCAGGGGAUGAAAUGAAAGUGUGUAUUGCGUGUUUGUGGGUGUUGUGCUGGGGAUGAGGUACCUUACAUCAGUCUCUUCUACCUACUCCACACACACACACACACACAGUCUAUUCAACCUCUUUAGUGUCUUCGAUGACUCAUUUGUCUCUGUACGGCUGUGUAUAAAAAAUAAAAGAGAAAGAAAGACUGUGCCUGUGUAUACAAGAGAGUAGAUGAGUGAAAGGGUAAAAACACUGUCCAUGGUCUGGUAAACGCAACAGUAAAACUGGACAAUUACCUUGCGAUAAUUGCAACUAAUCAUCUUCUGCAAUGUAGGCCUUUGAGGAAAUCUGUUUGCAGGCUGCUUUAGCAGAGUAAAUCACAGCUACACAACCAGAAUAAUCAGCACAAAGCCCUAGAUAACCCAAUAUUUACACAACAAUGUUUGACUCAUUCUGUUCAUGCAUUUAUCUCAGUUCCACAUCAUCCCAAACCAUCAUGCACAUGCUCCAAAAAAAUAAUAGAUGUGUCUCUUUCAUAGCUCAAAAUCGUUAUCAUAUUAUGUUUAUAAUUAACUUAGGUUACUUGUUAAAUCAGAUUUCCAUUCAAUCUCUUUGGGGUCAAGGUGAAACGUUUGAGAUAUUAUUUCUGCAAAACAUUGUUCUGCUGAUAUUCGAUCCAGUACGAUUUUAUUGUUUUUGAAAGCCGCUUAUACUCACCAAGGCUGCAUUUAUUUGACCAAUAUAAAAACAAUAUUGUAAAUAAUUUCAAAUAACUGUUUUCGAUAUUUAAAAAAAAAUGUAAUUUAUUCCUGUGAUAGAGCUUAUAUUUUCAUUCUAACAUGCUAACUUGCUGCUCAAGAAACAUGUUUAUCAAUAUUGAAAACAGCUGUGCUGCUUAAUACUUUCCUUUGCCAUUACAUUAAUAAAUUACAUUUAAUAAAAUAUAUUAAAACAGAAGACAGCUUUUUUUAUUGUAAUAGUCUUUCACAGUUUUACUGUUUUAAUAAUAUGUGAUCAAAUAAAAUGAAGCAAUGGUGAACAUAACUAACAUCUUUCGAAAACAAUUUUUGAUUAAAAAAAAGAAUCUGAAUUUUUUUGAUAAAUAGAAAGUUAAAGAACAGCAUUUAUUUGAAACAGAAAUAUUCUGUGACAUUAUAAAUGUCUUCUGAUCAAUUUAAAUAAUCCAUGCUGAAUACAAAUAUUAAUAAAAAAGAUUACGUUAAAAGAUUGUUUUGGCAACUUUUACAAGUACACAAGCAUAUAAAUUAAAGUCUUGCACAUUUACUGAUAUAUAUUUUAAUACUGCUAUUAUACCCGUUAUAAUGUUGUGCAUGAAUCAUUUGCGGACUCAAGCUAGAUAUAAUAUGAUCCAAUAUUAAAAGCCUAUUUUAAUGUGCUUUUAACUUUGCUGCUUUCACAUUGAAUAUUCAUGACAGUGAGUGAUACAAACAGAUACAAUAUAACCAAAUUAUCUUCCAUUAUCUCUUUCAGCCCUGUGCACCCAUCAUUAACAGAUCAAGCUGUCACCAUGAAGACGUGGUAAAAGCACAGAUGCUAUUUAGUGCAUAAAUAUGUACGCUAUAAACAGACCAUAACAGUCAGUUGCUUGCUAUCUAUCUAUCUAUCCGUGUCAAAUAUAUGUCAAAGAAAGCGGACCAGCCAAAUGCGACCUAAUGUAAUGCCAUAAAUAAGCAAGAAUAAAGCAUCAAAACACACACCACUUUGUUUUUGUGAAUUGUAGAUACAUUCAAUUGGCAUAAUGGUUUUUAGCUGUACAAACCAUAUUUUACACCAACCCUACAACUAAACCUCACAGGAAACGGUGCACAUUUUUACUUUCUCAAAUAAACUCAUUCUGUAUGAUUUAGAAGCCUAUUGAAAAAUGGGGACAUGAUGUAAUUUCCUCAUAAGUCACCCUCUGCUUGUAAUACCCAUGUCAUUAUAAAAAUUUGUGUCCUGAGGUCACAAAAACACACACGCAGGAGAGACGUGAAAUGGCAGGAUGAAGAAGAUGGAUGGAGGAAGGAAUGGACCACUGUGUGUGAAGAUAAAUGUUGAAGAGGCUAAACAGGAAGAUGACAAAUAAAAAGGCAGAGCUAUGGGGAAUGAAAGGGAGAGUGAGGGACAAUAAAAUAAAACCUAAUCAAUAAGAUGACAGGAUAGAUAUUGCAUGAGUGGAAAGUAAUUUGAGUUUUGUAUGCGUCAAUGCUCAUAUUUUUUCUGUCAUUCUGUUUCUUCCUCUCACUUGCGUGGAACAUGGAGCUGGGUGUGGUUGGUGCUCUCUGGCGCCUCUGGUGGCUGUGCAGGAUAGUUUGGAAAACAUGGGGUUUGAAGUGCAAGUACAGACCAGAUACAGCAGGACGACGGUGUUAAAGGGGAAGAUACUCACUGGUAAAUCCCAGUGGGCCAAAAAUGAAGCCAAGCUGCUGUAAAGAAAGGCUCGAAGACAGCAGAAGCCAGCAGUGCCAUUCUCCAGCAGAGCUCAAAGGUUCCAUCAGCAUUCCAUUAAAACCAUGAAUGCCACUGGAGACUUCACUGCACACACACGCAUGUGAGAUCAGAAUCAGCAUGAGCUUCUCUUCUAGCCACUCGUGUCUUGUGCUUAGAUAACAUGGGCUUUUCACAACACCAGGGGUAUUCUUAGAUUCAAACUUAAAUGCAGAUACAGCUACCGUAUGUGUUUUCUGUAUGCAUGACAAUGUUUUGUGUGUGUGUGUGCGCGCGUGUAAUAAUAUUAAAUUGAAGACAAAUUAAGAUUUCAGCAUGAGCACUGUAGUCCAAUUCCUGAAGAAUGGCUCUCGAGCCAGUUCUUUUUUUGUUUGUUAAUAGCAAACUGCAAUAAUAAAUCUGAUUCCCGCACAAAAGACUCUUAUGAUUCUCUUCAGUAAAUCAGUAACAUACAGUGUUGCAAAGUACUCUAACUCUUCAACGAAUGACUCCUAUAUUGUUCUUUUUAACAAAAACAAACUGUGUUAUCAACAAAGUCUAAUUCCCACAUGAAUGGCUCUUAUGAGGUGGUUCGAUCUAGUGAAAUAGUCUUCUGAGCCAGUUGUGUUUAACUAAUCAGUAACAUUGAUUUACUGCAGAAUAAACUGUAUUCUGACUCAUGUAUCCAUUCUUUUUUAACACAAGCAAACAGCACAUCCAAUGAUGUUACUUUUAUGAGCCAUUCUUUUUAUUGAAUCAAAUGCACAGCGCAACCAGUGAAGUUCAGUUCAAGAAGGAGUGAAUCCGUCAAGGAAUUGACCAGUUAUUUUUAGAGAAUCAAUCGACAAAAUUAGGUCACAAAAAUUCUGUGAAGUGUACUGACUCGUACUGCUUAGGAAUUGUAUAAAAUGUAUUUUUUAGUUUGUUAAAUGUGCUUUGUUAAAAAUCAUCUCAUCAUCAGUUGAAAAUUGUUACACUGCUGCUUGUCAAGACUGCAGCUGUAAAAGCAGUUUGUGUCCUCGAGGUUUGUUUUUGUAGGUUUGCACCUUGUGUUUUGGUGUAUUCUGUAAUAAAUAAUAUAUGGAA